CAAAAAGUUAAUCGUUGGCAUAUAAAUGGAUGGGUUCCCCCUAUUCUUUCUACCUUCACGGGUAACAUACAUCCAUCUUUGUGGAGACUGGCAACUGCUGCCGGCAAUGUCACUUUGUCCCGUCCUUUUAAUAAUGAGAGUUUUGAUAUUCAAGCUUGUGUACCUGCUCCAUAUGUGUUAUUAAUUAGCCGCAACAAUCACUCUAGUAUUGUUAUAGAAAACAAGAAAAAACAUUAUGUUAGUUCUUGUAAAAAUUGUAUACUGACCAGUUGUAUAAAUCCUGCAAUUCCUGUUGAAAGUAUGAUGAUUUUACAACAGCCAAAAUAUAUUAUGAUUCCUGUACAUUUACAAGAAGAUUGGUAUGAUGAUUCAGGCCUAGAAGCCUUAAAACAAGCUUCUGCUAUUUUAUCUCGAGCCAAACGGUUUGUAGCAGCUUUAAUACUGGGGAUUUCUGCUCUCAUAGCUUUAGCAACUUCUCUUUCACUUUCUGCUAUGGCGUUAACACAACAGAUUCAUACUGCAAACUAUGUAAAUAAUUUAAGUAAAAAUAUUACUUUAGCCUUAGCCACACAAGAAGCCAUUGAUAGAAAAUUACAACAAGAAGUUAAUGCCCUUGAAGAAGCAAUUCUAUAUAUAGGACAAGAAAUCACUAAUCUCAAAGUGCGACUUACUUUGAGAUGCCAUUCAUCUUCCGAAUCUUAAAUCAAGCUAUCCAAAAGGUGGCUUCAGAUCUUCAUCUGGCGAAAUUAAAAAAUAAGAAAGGGGGAGAUGCUGGGAGCCAGGCUGCAAGGGCGGCCCCUCUGCACCCACUGCCCCCAGCAUAAACAUCGAAGAAUUCCUGAAAAGUCAGGAAUAUCUCUGUCAUCUGUGUUAUGUGUCUAUUUCAUUUUCAGCCUGUGUAUAGCAGAAUGUAUAAGCAUAAAAUUCCAUUAUAGAUUUAGGGACCUUUGGACGGGGGGCGUCCUACUCAUAAUCCUCUGGUGAAAUCUCGGGUAGGGACAGCCCAUGUGUUACUUGGGGAUCAACAUGAAGUUGUCUUAGGGGAAAAAACAAAUAGCUCGACUAUGGAAAACAAGAAUAGGAUGGUGAAAUCCUGGUAUUUACCAAGGCCCUUUUUGUGAUUAAACCACCACCCACACAUGACCCCAUAAAAGUGGAAAAACAAAAGGCAGUGAGUUCUCUCAGCCAAUCUCUCAGCCAAUUACAGGUCAACUUUCUCGUCCACCCCGCUCACUGCUGCGCUUGACUGGUCUUUGGGUAUAGAGAUUGGGCUAAUUGUCCUUGGCAUAAUCGUGGACAAUAUGACGUAACCCAAAGUGGCUGGGCUUCAAGAACUUGACCACCCUGGACAAGAUGGACAAAGCCUAUGUAACAAUGAUUUUGCAAAAAGAUUAAUUAUUAUAAAAACUGUGGAAGGUAUUGCAAGAUUAAGCAUAAGUGUAAAGCAAUAUGAAGUCAAUUAUUAUUUUGUGUAAAAAUAUAUCAACAAAAUAUUCUCUUCAAUUAAACAAAAAACUCAUUGUACUUGUGUAUGUAUGCGGAACUGUACUAUGUGUCACUUGGAAAAUUAUGUCUCUGGGAAAUGAUGUUUAUGAUUAUAUCUUGUACUGCCCCUUUAUUGAUCAUGCGAUGUUAUGCUUUUGUAAGCUUAUGAUAUAAAAGACCAUGUAAAAAAUAAAGAGCAGAGCCUUCUUUUUCUGCAGAAUGAAAAUAU
This is a long non-coding RNA of Loxodonta africana (African savanna elephant), 1714 nucleotides long. RefSeq lists it as uncharacterized. The record is from RefSeq and is a predicted model, not a curated record. The transcript is spliced from 2 exons. Lineage: Eukaryota; Metazoa; Chordata; Mammalia; Proboscidea; Elephantidae.